Molecule: non-coding RNA, 30 nt
Filed under: Rattus norvegicus (Norway rat)
Lineage: Eukaryota; Metazoa; Chordata; Mammalia; Rodentia; Muridae
Source: RNAcentral
UGUAAGCAUUCUACGCUUGUGUUCUUACUC